GCUUGUCUCAAAGAUUAAGCCAUGCAUGUCUAAGUAUAAACAACUUUAUACUGUAAAACUGCGAACGGCUCAUUAUAUCAGCAAUAAUUUAUUUGAUGGUUUCUUACCCCAUGGAUAACUGUGGUAAUUCUAGAGCUAAUACAUGCUGGCGUGCCCGACUUUUGUGGAAGGGCGGUAUUUAUUAGAUAACAAGCCAAUAUUCCUCACGGUCUAUUGUGGUGACUCAUAAUAACUGAUCGAAUCGCAAGGCCCUUGGCCGCGAUAAGUCAUUCAAGUUUCUGCCCCAUCAGCUUUCGAUGGUAGUGUAUUGGACUACCAUGGCGUUCACGGGUAACGGAGAAUUAGGGUUCGAUUCCGGAGAGGGAGCCUGAGAAACGGCUACCACAUCUAAGGAAGGCAGCAGG
RNAcentral lists this ribosomal RNA (404 nucleotides) under uncultured Strombidiidae. Its description in RNAcentral is "partial small subunit ribosomal RNA". It matches the Rfam family "Eukaryotic small subunit ribosomal RNA", at positions 30 to 432 of the family's 1831-position model. Lineage: Eukaryota; Ciliophora; Spirotrichea; Strombidiidae. The record is from RNAcentral.